AUUCCUGGUGGAGGAGAGGAGGGGGCACAUCUGCAUGAUGCAGGGAAUGAUCUCAGAUUGCUGCUCUACAAAGCAGCUUUCACAGGUGGUUAGGCCAUUGUUGCUCUGUGGCUGAUGGGCAGUAGGAUGAGGUGAAGAAUUAGUUCUGUUUCUGUCCCCAGGCCAAAAUGGCCUUCUAACUGGUUUCUUUUUUGGAGCGUAUUGAGAGGAGGUGUUAAAGUUAUUUAUUUAUUUAUUUCAUUGUCGCCUAAACUGUUAAAGUUGCUUUCCAGACCCUUUUUCACUUUUUUUUUUCCAUCUUUAAAAGGUUGCCUUCAUGCUGUUCUUCGAUGGAAGCAGCUGUUGUCAGCAAAAGAUUUUGGAGUAGCUGGUAUCUAUCCAUAGGCAGCACAAAGCCCUGUUGGAGCCUAAUGUAACUGGAUUUAUUUUGGGUGCCCCACAAGGAAGUCUAUGUAAAGUCUUACUGGUCUCCUAUGAUAAAAAACAGCUGUUUUGUCUGUAAGCAUUGUAUGUUACAGCUUCCCACAGCUAUUCCCAGUGCCUAAUUCUCUAGUGAACACUUUUUAUCGGUGCAAAAAUAUGGUUGGGUGAAAACUCUGUUCCCUGAUACAGGUGGGGAGAGCUUUUCCUUAGAAACUGAGGAGUGUGGAGAGUAAGGGGCGAGACACACAUGAUACUGAAGUUUGCAAAAGGCUUUUCCUUUACUGUCACAUGGCUCACCAUACAGACACUUGUAUUUCACAGUGUACUUACCUAUUCUUUAUAGAGCCUGGUUAAUAAGCAUUGCUCGCAUGUGGUGUGCAGCAACCGCUACACUAAACUUGUGUAAUGCUGGUAUGUUGGAGAAGUUUUCCAUUUAUGCUUGCUCCUUAAAAUGCCUCAGCUGGCUUGCCUAAUAAAAAAAAAACCAACCUAGGGGCUUUUCUAGAGGAUAGGAACAUAUAUGCGCUCUGAUUAGGGAUUAAAUGCAAAUUCUCCUGGGUGAAUUAAGGUCUGAUUUCAAUUGAAACCUAAAAAAUAAAGCUUGCAACAUGUAGUUUAA
RNAcentral lists this long non-coding RNA (1042 nucleotides) under Strigops habroptila (Kakapo). Its description in RNAcentral is "lncRNA (ENSSHBG00005020073.1)". The record is from RNAcentral. Lineage: Eukaryota; Metazoa; Chordata; Aves; Psittaciformes; Psittacidae.